Molecule: ribosomal RNA, 402 nt
Filed under: uncultured Campylobacterota bacterium
Lineage: Bacteria; Pseudomonadati; Campylobacterota
Description: bacterial SSU rRNA
Rfam family: Bacterial small subunit ribosomal RNA
Source: RNAcentral
UGAGGAAUAUUGCACAAUGGGGGAAACCCUGAUGCAGCAACGCCGCGUGGAGGAUGACGCAUUUCGGUGUGUAAACUCCUUUUAUAAGGGAAGAAAAUGACGGUACCUUAUGAAUAAGCACCGGCUAACUCCGUGCCAGCAGCCGCGGUAAUACGGAGGGUGCAAGCGUUACUCGGAAUCACUGGGCGUAAAGGACGCGUAGGCUGACUUAUAAGUCAGAUGUGAAAUCCUAUGGCUUAACCAUAGAACUGCAUUUGAAACUGUGAGUCUAGAGUACUGAAGGGGGAGAUGGAAUUAGUGGUGUAGGGGUAAAAUCCGUAGAUAUCACUAGGAAUACCGAAAGCGAAGGCGAUCUCCUGGGAAGUUACUGACGCUGAGGCGUGAAAGCGUGGGGAGCAAACA